RNAcentral lists this unclassified non-coding RNA (586 nucleotides) under Bombus terrestris (buff-tailed bumblebee). RNAcentral's name for it is "misc RNA ENSBTSG00005037769.1". The record is from RNAcentral. Lineage: Eukaryota; Metazoa; Arthropoda; Insecta; Hymenoptera; Apidae.
UCCGAGUCGAGACAACGAAUGUGACUGGAAAUGGCAAUGCCGAUUUGGAAUGGCGCCUGUUACGAUUCGUGACGAAGUUUAAUGAAUCGAGAGCGUUGUUCACGAGACAAUUCGAUAGCCCGUUAGAAGCGCGCGUACGUCAUAAUAAUUAUUCAUGGUCGUCGGCGCAGUUCAAUGCCGAUUUUGUGCUCACGUAUACGAAACCCGUGAAAUAUAACGGGGCCGCGAAGCUCGAGAGAGAGACGAAGAAUACUGAUGUAAAAAUUUGAAUAAUUAUCAGCAAUAAAUUCGUUGGAACUAUGUGCACGUUGCACUUUUUACGCGGUCGUAAAUUUAGCGGUAAGAUACGCCUUGAGAUCGGGCCGCGAGAUGCUCGCGACCACACCGAGGAGAACACAGAGGAGAGAUCCUGUCCGUCGUCGCGUUCACCUCGCAAGUAUAUAAGUAGAAUCUGUUAGAUUCGGAGUAUACGCGCUCUUAACGAUACUGUUUUUUCGAAUAAUCGACAGCUAAAGCAAUUUGUAUCUCUUAGAAGCAUCUUGUUAAAUUUCAUUACGUAAGUUAUAUCCUCGGUUCUCGAGAAACA